RNAcentral lists this ribosomal RNA (412 nucleotides) under uncultured bacterium. Its description in RNAcentral is "bacterial SSU rRNA". It matches the Rfam family "Bacterial small subunit ribosomal RNA", at positions 505 to 916 of the family's 1533-position model. The record is from RNAcentral.
GUGUCAGCCGCCGCGGUAAUACGUAGGGGGCAAGCGUUGUCCGGAAUUAUUGGGCGUAAAGCGCGCGCAGGCGGCGGUUUAAGUUUGGUGUUUAAGCCCGGGGCUCAACUCCGGUUCGCACUGAAAACUGGAUCGCUUGAGUGCAGGAGAGGGAAGUGGAAUUCCACGUGUAGCGGUGAAAUGCGUAGAGAUGUGGAGGAACACCAGUGGCGAAGGCGACUUCCUGGCCUGUAACUGACGCUGAGGCGCGAAAGCGUGGGGAGCAAACAGGAUUAGAUUCCCUGGUAGUCCACGCCGUAAACGAUGAGUGCUAGGUGUUAGGGGUUUCGAUACCCUUGGUGCCGAAGUAAACACAGUAAGCACUCCGCCUGGGGAGUACGGUCGCAAGACUGAAACUUAAAUGAAUUGGCGG